GUCUUCCAUUUAAAUUCCCAUCUGUGUAAUAAACUUCUGUUGCUUCCCGCUGGGCAUAAUGUCUGGUGGGAAGGGAAAUCUACACUCUGGUUUUUCUGUGGUUUGUCUGAGUGGGGUAUACACAUCAAACAAGUUAAAACUUUCAACAACGGAUCUCUUGGUUCUCGCAUCGAUGAAGAACGCAGCGAAAUGCGAUAAGUAGUGUGAAUUGCAGAAUUCAGUGAAUCAUCGAAUCUUUGAACGCACAUUGCGCCUUCUGGUAUUCCGGGAGGCAUGCCUGUUCGAGCGUCAUCAAACACAUACUCAAGCAUGGUUUUGCUUGGUCUUGGGGGAAGAUGUCUUCAUCUCCCCUGGAAUCCCUCAGCGGAAAAGUCUUCCAUGUCCCCAGGCGUGAUAAUUACUGUUCGCCUGAUGACUGCAAGUCUCCGCCAGCUGUCAAUGGCCCCCCAGCUACUUAAUGAGUUUGACCUCGGAUCAUGUAGGGAUACCCCGCUGAACUUAA
RNAcentral lists this ribosomal RNA (502 nucleotides) under Conoplea sp. JCM12000. RNAcentral's name for it is "eukaryotic LSU rRNA". The stretch from base 138 to 291 matches the Rfam family "5.8S ribosomal RNA". The record is from RNAcentral. Lineage: Eukaryota; Fungi; Ascomycota; Pezizomycetes; Pezizales; Sarcoscyphaceae.